This 734-nucleotide ribosomal RNA is filed under the name uncultured bacterium. RNAcentral describes it as "bacterial SSU rRNA". It matches the Rfam family "Bacterial small subunit ribosomal RNA", at positions 8 to 796 of the family's 1533-position model. The record is from RNAcentral.
AGAGUUUGAUCCUGGCUCAGAACGAACGCUGGCGGCAGGNNAACACAUGCAAGUCGAACGCAUCCUUCGGGGUGAGUGGCAGACGGGUGAGUAACACGUGGGAACGUGCUUUCGGUUGGGAUAACCCAGGGAAACUUGGGCUAAUCCGGAUACGCCCUUUGGGGGAAAGAUUGAUUGCCGAAAGAUCGGCCCGCGUCUGAUUAGCUAGUUGGUGAGGUAACGGCUCACCAAGGCGACGAUCAGUAGCUGGUCUGAGAGGAUGAUCAGCCACACUGGGACUGAGACACGGCCAGACNNCUACGGGAGGCAGCAGUGGGGAAUAUUGGACAAUGGGCGCAAGCCUGAUCCAGCCAUGCCGCGUGAGUGAUGAAGGCCCUAGGGUUGUAAAGCUCUUUCGGCGGGGACGAUAAUGACGGUACCCGCAGAAGAAGCCCCGGCUACUUCGUGCCAGCAGCCGCGGUAAUACGAAGGGGGCUAGCGUUGUUCGGAAUCACUGGGCGUAAAGGGCGCGUAGGCGGCCAUUCAAGUCGGGGGUGAAACCUGUGGCUCAACCACAGAAUUGCCUUCGAUACUGUUUGGCUUGAGACCGGAAGAGGUCAGUGGAACUGCGAGUGUAGAGGUGAAAUUCGUAGAUAUUCGCAAGAACACCAGUGGCGAAGGCGGCUGACUGGUCCGGUUCUNNGCUGAGGCGCGAAAGCGUGGGGAGCAAACAGGAUUAGAUACCCUAGUAGUCC